GGUUAAGUGAAUAAGGGCGCACGGUGGAUGCCUUGGCACUAGGAGCCGAUGAAGGACGGGACUAACACCGAUAUGCUUUGGGAAGCUGUACGUAAGCUAUGAUCCAGAGAUUUCCGAAUGGGGGAACCCAGCAUCUUUAAUAGGAUGUUACGAUUGUGUAAAUACAUAGCACAUUCGAGGUAGACGCAGAGAACUGAAACAUCUAAGUACCUGCAGGAAGAGAAAGAAAAUUCGAUUCCCUGAGUAGCGGCGAGCGAAACGGGAAAAGCCCAAACCAGCAAGCUUGCUUGUUGGGGUUGUAGGACUCCA
This 309-nucleotide ribosomal RNA is filed under the name Enterococcus faecium. Its description in RNAcentral is "partial 23S ribosomal RNA". It matches the Rfam family "Bacterial large subunit ribosomal RNA", at positions 1 to 310 of the family's 2925-position model. Lineage: Bacteria; Bacillati; Bacillota; Bacilli; Lactobacillales; Enterococcaceae. The record is from RNAcentral.